GGAGUUGUGGCUCAGUGGUAGAGCGCUUGCCUAGCAUGUGUGAAGUACUGGGUUCGACCCCCAGCACCA
This 69-nucleotide transfer RNA is filed under the name Ictidomys tridecemlineatus (thirteen-lined ground squirrel). RNAcentral's name for it is "Spermophilus tridecemlineatus (thirteen-lined ground squirrel) tRNA". It matches the Rfam family "tRNA". From Rfam's summary of the family: Transfer RNA (tRNA) molecules are approximately 80 nucleotides in length. Their secondary structure includes four short double-helical elements and three loops (D, anti-codon, and T loops). The record is from Rfam by way of RNAcentral. Lineage: Eukaryota; Metazoa; Chordata; Mammalia; Rodentia; Sciuridae.